This 465-nucleotide ribosomal RNA is filed under the name uncultured bacterium. Its description in RNAcentral is "partial 16S ribosomal RNA". It matches the Rfam family "Bacterial small subunit ribosomal RNA", at positions 28 to 507 of the family's 1533-position model. The record is from RNAcentral.
GACAAACGCUGGCGGCGUGCUUAACACAUGCAAGUCGAGCGGUAAGGCCCCUUCGGGGGUACACGAGCGGCGCACGGGUGAGUAACACGUGAGCAAUCUGCCCAUCACAUCGGGAUAACUCCGGGAAACCGAAGCUAAUACCGAAUACGACCACCUCCGGCAUCGGAUGGUGGUGGAAAGUUCCGGCGGUGAUGGAUGAGCUCGCGGCCUAUCAGCUUGUUGGUGGGGUAACGGCCCACCAAGGCUUCGACGGGUAGCCGGCCUGAGAGGGUGACCGGCCACACUGGGACUGAGACACGGCCCAGACUCCUACGGGAGGCAGCAGUGGGGAAUAUUGGACAAUGGGCGAAAGCCUGAUCCAGCAACGCCGCGUGAGGGAUGACGGCCUUCGGGUUGUAAACCUCUUUCAGCAGGGACGAAGCGCAAGUGACGGUACCUGCAGAAGAAGCACCGGCCAACUACGUG